GUUUUUUUUUAAUAUCUUUGACCCACAAAUAUAAGGAAGUUGAAUAUAUAACAAUAUAUUUCAAUGAACCAUAGUGAGGACUUUCCUCUGAAAUGAAUUAUUGGUCACUUUCAAAAUAAUUUACAAAGCAUAGUGAACAGACAUAACGUUUAGACCUAUAAUGAAACAAAGAAUUAUGAGAUACAGACGAUGCCAAUGAAAUCACAACCUUGAUCGUCAGAUUGAAAGUGCCGAGAACAUUUUACAUGAAACAGUUAUUAUGAAGAUUGAAAGUGCCGAGAACAUUUUACAUGAAACAGUUAUUAUGAAGACUGCUUAUUUGUGCAAGACUUUAAAAAAUGAUUUUAUUGGAUAAGAAGAAAGUUUUGGACAGUAUACCUGUAAUUCAUCAACUAAAAUGACUCAAAGAAUGGACAUUCGUAAAUGCAAGAAACAACACCGGUUUAUAUAUGUAGACUACAUAUUCAAAGUUUAUAUUCUUGGACAUCUUAAGAAGGUGUCAUUUACUACACAAUUUUGCAUGCUUAUUGCAUGCUUAAUCAACAACAAAACAUUCUUUGAACAAUGAAUUAUUUUAUAUGAAAGUGAUCAAAGUAUUAAGAUCUUUACAUUUGUCUGCUUUUGAUAAUGCAACAUUUUGCAAAAUGAAUUUUAAGUAUGUGGGUUAAAUAUGGUGGUUUGUCAACACGUCUGAUGAAGAAACAAACAACCAUUUACUGAUUGGAAAACUAGACUAUUAAUGGAAAUAUUUAUUAGCUUGUAUGGAGAUAUGGAUGAAAACUAUUAUCAUGAGCUUGCCAUAUCACAAGAGGAUUCACCAAUUCGGACAUGGAUGAACACUAUUAUCCUGUGCCUACUAAGAUGACAAAAUAGAUGAUGACCAGAUCAAAAUAGACAUUGAAAGUGACCAUUGACCCUGUUAAAUUGCCCCUCUCACAAAAUUAACUUAAAAAAUUCUUUGUAAGGCCAUCAAAGUAAUUGGUUGGAUUGCAAACAAGUAAAGAUCAUUAUUUUUCUAAUACUAUCAUGCCAUAGCUAGAAGCGCAAGAACAAUGUACACACAUUUAGGUUAUAAAAAAAAAGUUCCAUACUGAAAUAGAUUGAAUCCUGCCUUCUGCUAUUAUUUCAAGUUCUUGAUGAAAAGUCAAGUGAUAUUUUACACAAACUGAUUAUGAAUUUUAUGUUGUAUUGGACUAGUCCUCUUGAACUCAAAAAUCUAAUUUCAUGAUCCAAACAUACUAUUCAUUGCCAGAGAUAUAGUCGUCAUUUGCAUUGAAGCCUAAUUUUCUAUUAAUAAAAGGAGAAUGCAUUUUAGCUGCAGAAUAGAUAAAAUAUUUAAGAUAAAGAAUCUUGGUUUCCAUCAUCAUUAUUAAGGUUCAGUCUGUGGUUUCAGUUUUUU
This 1399-nucleotide long non-coding RNA is filed under the name Mytilus galloprovincialis (Mediterranean mussel). The record is from RNAcentral. Lineage: Eukaryota; Metazoa; Mollusca; Bivalvia; Mytilida; Mytilidae.